CCCAACCUAGUUAGGUUCUAUAUUUUAUUAAUGAUUGCUUUAUACUUCUAGGAGGUAUAAUUUGAGUGACACCAAAUUUUGGGGUUAUUGCCUAGGUUUAUGAUUACAAAGUUAAGUUAUUAUGUUUGUUAGUUUGUUACACGACCAAAACUAGGGCCUUGUCGUAAUGGUUAAUCCUAAUCCCAACCAGGACCAAGAAUCGCCCCCGUUAC
RNAcentral lists this long non-coding RNA (212 nucleotides) under Capsicum annuum. Its description in RNAcentral is "long non-coding RNA (CANN_LNC017085)". The record is from RNAcentral. Lineage: Eukaryota; Viridiplantae; Streptophyta; Magnoliopsida; Solanales; Solanaceae.